This 1344-nucleotide ribosomal RNA is filed under the name uncultured bacterium. RNAcentral describes it as "bacterial SSU rRNA". It matches the Rfam family "Bacterial small subunit ribosomal RNA", at positions 28 to 1381 of the family's 1533-position model. The record is from RNAcentral.
GACGAACGCUGGCGGCGUGCUUAACACAUGCAAGUCGAACGAUGAACCGCUUUCGGGCGGGGAUUAGUGGCGAACGGGUGAGUAACACGUGGGCAAUCUGCCCUGCACUCUGGGACAAGCCCUGGAAACGGGGUCUAAUACCGGAUAUGACUGUCCAUCGCAUGGUGGAUGGUGUAAAGCUCCGGCGGUGCAGGAUGAGCCCGCGGCCUAUCAGCUUGUUGGUGAGGUAGUGGCUCACCAAGGCGACGACGGGUAGCCGGCCUGAGAGGGCGACCGGCCACACUGGGACUGAGACAUGGCCCAGACUCCUACGGGAGGCAGCAGUGGGGAAUAUUGCACGAUGGGCGAAAGCCUGAUGCAGCGACGCCGCGUGAGGGAUGACGGCCUUCGGGUUGUAAACCUCUUUCAGCAGGGAAGAAGCGAAAGUGACGGUACCUGCAGAAGAAGCGCCGGCUAACUACGUGCCAGCAGCCGCGGUAAUACGUAGGGCGCAAGCGUUGUCCGGAAUUAUUGGGCGUAAAGAGCUCGUAGGCGGCUUGUCACGUCGGUUGUGAAAGCCCGGGGCUUAACCCCGGGUCUGCAGUCGAUACGGGCAGGCUAGAGUUCGGUAGGGGAGAUCGGAAUUCCUGGUGUAGCGGUGAAAUGCGCAGAUAUCAGGAGGAACACCGGUGGCGAAGGCGGAUCUCUGGGCCGAUACUGACGCUGAGGAGCGAAAGCGUGGGGAGCGAACAGGAUUAGAUACCCUGGUAGUCCACGCCGUAAACGGUGGGCACUAGGUGUGGGCAACAUUCCACGUUGUCCGUGCCGCAGCUAACGCAUUAAGUGCCCCGCCUGGGGAGUACGGCCGCAAGGCUAAAACUCAAAGGAAUUGACGGGGGCCCGCACAAGCGGCGGAGCAUGUGGCUUAAUUCGACGCAACGCGAAGAACCUUACCAAGGCUUGACAUACACCGGAAACGUCUGGAGACAGGCGCCCCCUUGUGGUCGGUGUACAGUGGUGCAUGGCUGUCGUCAGCUCGUGUCGUGAGAUGUUGGGUUAAGUCCCGCAACGAGCGCAACCCUUGUCCCGUGUUGCCAGCAGGCCUUUGUGGUGCUGGGGACUCACGGGAGACCGCCGGGGUCAACUCGGAGGAAGGUGGGGACGACGUCAAGUCAUCAUGCCCCUUAUGUCUUGGGCUGCACACGUGCUACAAUGGCCGGUACAAUGAGCUGCGAUACCGCGAGGUGGAGCGAAUCUCAAAAAGCCGGUCUCAGUUCGGAUUGGGGUCUGCAACUCGACCCCAUGAAGUCGGAGUCGCUAGUAAUCGCAGAUCAGCAUUGCUGCGGUGAAUACGUUCCCGGGCCU